UGGGGAAUAUUGCACAAUGGGGGAAACCCUGAUGCAGCGACGCCGCGUGAGCGAAGAAGGCUUUCGAGUCGUAAAGCUCUGUCCUAUGAGAAGAUAAUGACGGUAUCAUAGGAGGAAGCCCUGGCUAAAUACGUGCCAGCAGCCGCGGUAAUACGUAUGGGGCGAGCGUUGUCCGGAAUUAUUGGGCGUAAAGGGUACGUAGGCGGUUUUUUAAGUCAGGUGUCAAAGCGUGGAGCUUAACUCCAUUAAGCACUUGAAACUGAAAGACUUGAGUGAAGGAGAGGAAAGUGGAAUUCCUAGUGUAGCGGUGAAAUGCGUAGAUAUUAGGAGGAAUACCGGUGGCGGAGGCGACUUUCUGGACUUUUACUGACGCUCAGGUACGAAAGCGUGGGGAGCAAACAGG
Molecule: ribosomal RNA, 403 nt
Filed under: Verrucomicrobiota bacterium
Lineage: Bacteria; Pseudomonadati; Verrucomicrobiota
Description: Verrucomicrobia bacterium partial 16S ribosomal RNA
Rfam family: Bacterial small subunit ribosomal RNA
Source: RNAcentral